GCAGAUUGGGUCAUACGGAGUGUUCCCACAUCAAAACCCAGAGUAAUAACCCUAAUCAACUAACAACAGUGGAAAGGCCCAAAGAGGCAGAGGAAUGGAAGACAGACACCUUCACCAGAAGGAGAAAACUUGUCCAGCUUAAUCCUCCCAAGUAGGGGUGGGCGUUCGGUAUUCGGUUCGAUAUUUUCAAAGUUCGGGUUCGGUAAUCGGUAUUUGAACAUAGAUACCACAUACCAUACUUAUAAACAUCGGUUUGGUAGUUCGGUAAUCGGUAAUUAAACUUCGGUUCGGUAUGGUAUUUGGUAAUACCAUAUUAAAGUAUACUUAUGAACAUCGGUUUGGUAAUUCGGUAAUCGGUAAAUUAAACUUUAAUUCGAUACGGUAUUUGGUUUUACCAUAUUAAAGUUGGAGAUGUACAAAUGUACGUUUAAACUUCAAAGAAUAGAUUUAAUAGAAACCUUAUUUAGUAUUCUUUUUGUUUCUUUUUACGAAUAUAUUACCAAGUUUCAAGAGAUUUUUUGGAAUGACUAAUACUAUUAUCUAUUGGGUUGGUUAGACACACACACACACACACAUAUAUAUAUAUAUAAUAGUUUACACAUACGCGUCUUGCGCGUGUACCUCAAUUUAGUGAGUUUAAUUUUAUAAAAUCAUCUAAAAUAUAAAAAAUAUGAUGGUCUUUCAAAAUAUUUAUUGAAUUUUUUAAUUAGCAUCUUGACAUUAGGGCAACUUUCAGUUAUUAUCUAAUUCUAUGAAAAAAUAGAAAUUAGCCAACCAAAAAGCAUGUAUGUUAGUUUAAACACAAGAAAGUUUACAAAAAAAAGUAUAUUCUCUUUAGUUCUUCCUUGAACCAUUCUUCUUCACCUAUACUAAAGAAGAAGAAGAAAGAAUGAGACAAGCCUUUGAUAUUUUUGACCACUUUAGUCGGUAAUGACAUGCUUAUUUCUUCCAAUUUUCGAUCAAAAAUUUCCUACGAAAAAAAGUAGAUAGAUUAAACUCGAUUUACAACGAAUAAUGUACUUGAUCUGCUUGCAAACAUAAUUAGUAAGCCCAAAAUUGAAAGAUUCGACUAUAAUCCUAAAUUUAUAUUUUCAUCAUUCAAACAAAAGUUAUACAUAUCAAGAUUUAACACUUAUUAUAACCUUAAAUUUAGAACUUAACUAACAAAUUUAAUUAAAGAUGCAACUAUAACACUAACGAAAUUGUUAAAUAACAUAAUCAAAACAAAGUCACAGUUGAACUAAAGAAGAAAAAAAAAAGAAUGAGACAAACUUUUGAUAUUUAUGACCACUUUAUUCAGUGGUGACAUGCUUACUUCUUUCAAUUUUCGAUCAAAAAUUUUCUACGAAAAAAGAAACACGAUAAUUUAUUAAAAAGGAGAAUUCAUUGUCUUGUUAAUUAUUUAAUCAUAAUUUAUAUAUAAUAAUUAAAGUUAUUAACUAAAAGGAAUAAAGAAAGAUGAAGAAGAUGAUAAUAAUAAAUAAAUACAUAAAAAGACAACUUGAAUUAAUAACAAAAUAAGAAGAAAAAGUAGAAUUAGAGCUACGUUUCUUGUAAAUUUUGAUCCAAAAUAUUAUUUAAAUAGAAUUGUAUUUUUUUUUAUGUAAGGUAAAAUUUUAAUUGAUCUAGAAGUGUUAAAUAUUAUGAAUUCUUACUUAAAUUAAAUAAUCAAACCAAAAAAGACUAUAACUAAAAUUAAUUGUGAACAAAAUCUUUAUCCAAAAUGAUACAUAUGUGAGUUUUUAAAGAAAAAAAAUGCCAAAAUAGUACCAUCAACUAAUUAAAGUUUUUAAAGAUUUAUUUAAGAUACAAUUUUAGUUGAUUUAAAAAAUUUUAAUUGUAGGUAUAUAAUUUAAAUAAGAAAAGGUUUAAGAAUUAGGUUUUAAUGAAUUAUUUGGUGGUAUAAGUUUGUUAAUUGGAGUUUCAUGCAGAACUCUCUUCGUUGUAUUACUACUAUUCCUUAUUCCUUAUAUAUAAUAGUAUAGUAGGGAACUUUUUUUCCAAAAAUAAUGGUAGUUUUUCAUAAAGGAAGACAUUAUUAUUUUACCAAAAUAUUAGUAUAAAUAAACCAAAAAUCUACGGUAUAAUAUAAAGAAAAUUUUUAUGGUAGUUUUUUUUUUUUCCAAGAAAUAUAAUAUUAGUUUGCCAAAUUUUCAAAUGCCUAAAUUAUUUAAGGUACUAUGUUCAUGAAAAAUUUAUAUAUAAAUAUAAAUGCGUUAAAAUAAGAAAAAAAUAUGAAGAGCCAACUUUUAAAAGUUUUAAGUAACUAAUAUAUAUUAUUACGCUAAUAAUAUUAAAAAUAAAAGUUCCAAAAAUAAAAUUCUCCUCAAAUUAAAAUUCUCAAAGCUGCCGACUUAGUCAAUUUUUUUUCCAAAAAUAAAAUCCUCCUUACAUUAAACUUUCAAAGUUUACCUUUUUUUACUUUUUUAUUUUAUCAUAUAUUUUAGGAAUCCUUAGUUUUAUAUUUUAGGAAUUAAUAUUAUAAAUAUAAUUAUAUAAUAAAGGGAGAUUAGUAUCUCACAAGAAAUUCACUGUAAUAAUCAGGAAAGAAGGAACGGCCCUUUGUUGAACUGGUGUAACAGAGUUUUGGCAUAUGUCGUUUACAAGACCUUUUGCAUCUUCCCCUUCGUUGAACAUGUAGAGCAGAAUUUCGUGAGUCGUCUAUAAGAUUUUGUGCAUCUGUGGAUGCAGUUCAAUGAUCAUUCUUCUUCCUUGGAUGAAAGCUUGUAAGAGAGCUCUGCACGAGCUUCUUCUAACUUCACAAAAAGCUCCUUCAUGAAAGUGGUGUUUGUUCCAUGAGUAAUUCGCAGUAUCUCCGCUGCCUUGGCCAGUGAUCUGUAAGCUUCCUCAGUCUCACCAAGCCACCUGAAAUUACAAAUCAGCACCACAGACAAUCAUUAACGAAAUCACCACUUUCUUGACCUUUUUCAUGUCUUCAAGAAGCUCAAGAUUUGCAACAAAUGGUAUAACUAGAACAAGAAAUCCUAUUGACUGAGAAACUGUAUUAACUUCAUUAAUAGUUUUUUAAGUCACAUAAUUUUUACUUGAUAACUUUUUUUUUUUGAUGAAGUAAUAAGAAAUUUCAUUGCUGGCAUCAAGAAGAUGCAGAAUAGUACAAAAAGUUAGAGAAAGACAGCAGUACAUUAGCUCAAAAACAAAAGAGCUACACUAGUACCAAGGAGUUAACAAAGUUCAAAAAGUUCUCAGGGAAAUCUAUGGGUGAAAGGUUAUGCCAACUAUAUAGAUACAAAAGACACCUAGCCUUAAGGGAGUGAUUUGGAGUUGAUAAACCUUCAAAACAUCUUUUGUUCCUUUCGGAUCAUACACACCAACAAAUACAAGAAGGUAUCAUCUUCCAGAUUGGCUUGAUGCCCUUACCAACUCUCCAAUUGCACCAGCACUCAAAGGACUCUUUGGUGCUAUGUGGCAUUACCCAAUUAAUAUCAAAUAUAGACAGAAACAUACUCCAUAAGCCAGCAGCAACUUUACAAUGUAAAAAUAGAUGAUUGUUGGACUCAACGUUCUGAUGGCACAUGUAACAUCUGUUGGCAAUCUGAAAUUUCCUUUUCUUAAGGUUAUCUUGAGUGAGGUACCUGAUAAAUUAAAAAUCCCCGUGACCAUGACGCAUUCGAAACUUGGUGGAUAAUGUGCACCCCCCUCUACCCUUCUCCACUUAAAAUAUCAAACAGUCUGCUAGUACAAUUGAUCCAUGAAGUGCAUCUAACCCACGCCUCACGUUGCACCAGACCAAACCUUCGGGGCAUUUUAAAGUCACAUACUUUCAUGCUGUUGAUAAAGAAAAUGUUUAAUCAUGGAUAAAAUUGUUGAAUUAUACCAAAAAAUAACAGGCUUUGGUUUCUUUACACGUUCAGGAACUGCGACCAAGAUCUAACAAAAUAAAACAGAAGAAGCCAGGAGGAGCGAAUCUCCAAACCACGAAAUCAUUGCAGUGUUGCAGAAUACAUCUAAUCAUUAGUACUAGUGAAGUUGGAUCAGAGAGUGAACGACCACCCUCUCUCUAAACUCCCCACCCUUUCCUCCUCCCAACAUGCAGGUAUGACCAACACUGCAACAACCAGUAUGGACCCCUCCACCCAGAUUCCACUGGAGCCACCGGACAUCAGUGAUUGCCAAAUGGAAGAAGACACCAAUCAAAAGAACUCUUUCGUAGACGUGGUGAAGGAGAAAAACCUCAUCACUACCAUCACAUACCCUCUCGAACUUGAGAACCAAUCCCCAAUCUCAUCCGAAUUGGAGGAAAUUAUCCUCCUGACCGUGGAAGAGAAACUACGUCUGUAUACCACAUGGAAAUACUGUCAUCAUCAAAUUAUUUGGAAAGAAACUCAAUCACCUCUACCUUAAAACAAAGCUGACCGACCUAUGGAAAUUAAAAGAAAUGAUCAUUCUCACAGAUCUUGGAUCAAACUUUUUCACCGUCAAAUUUGACCUGGAAGAAAUCCAAGAGAGUAUUUCACGAGGGGCCGUGAUUCAUUGCGGGACUCUUCCCAACUCUCCUCCACAGUGACAUGGCUUAGACUGCCGCAACUCCCAACAGAAUUCUACGACAAGAUAAUCCUGGAAAAGAUUGAGAGGAAAAUUGGCGAACUUCUAAAGAUUGAGUCCUGCCCAUCCUCCAAUCUAAGAGGGAGAUAGUCAGGAUAUGUAUCCAAGUACCCUUGGAAACUCCGGUUAAAACUAGCAUUUUAAUCAGACAACAUAAACAUCUUAUUUGCUAUGAAAGUGAAGGAAUUCUAUGCAAAGGGUGUGGCAGAUUGGGUCAUACGGAGUGUUCCCACAUCAAAACCCAGAGUAAUAACCCUAAUCAACUAACAACAGUGGAAAGGCCCAAAGAGGCAGAGGAAUGGAAGACAGACACCUUCACCAGAAGGAGAAAACUUGUCCAGCUUAAUCCUCCCAAGUAGGGGUGGGCGUUCGGUAUUCGGUUCAAGGUUCGGGUUCGGUAAUCGGUAUUUGAACAUAGAUACCACAUACCAUACUUAUAAACAUCGGUUUGGUAGUUCGGUAAUCGGUAAUUAAACUUCGGUUCGGUAUGGUAUUUGGUAAUACCAUAUUAAAGUUGGAGAUGUGCAAAUGUAUGUUUAAACUUCAAAGAAUAUAUUUAAUAGAAAUCCUAUUUAGUAUUCUUUAUGUUGCUUUUUACGAAUAUAUUACCAAGGUCCAAGUGAUUUUUUGGGAUGACUAGUACUAUUGUCUAUUGGGUUGGGUUAAACACACACACACACAUAUAUAUAUUCGAUAUUCGGUAAAUACUGAAUACCAAAUGGUAUUAAUAUCUUGUACCAAACCCAAUCCCGAAUACCAAAAUAUUGAAAUUUUACUCCCAAAUACCAUACUAAAU
This 5359-nucleotide long non-coding RNA is filed under the name Capsicum annuum. Its description in RNAcentral is "long non-coding RNA (CANN_LNC009635)". Lineage: Eukaryota; Viridiplantae; Streptophyta; Magnoliopsida; Solanales; Solanaceae. The record is from RNAcentral.